CAUCACACUAAUAUGUGCUUUAAUUUACCAAGUGAGAUGAGUUACUUUUAUGGCUCAUUCAGUCAUAUCACACUGCAAGCUGCAUUCAUCAAUCUUCAAUUGGAUUUUGCAAAUGAUUAAUGAAACAUGUUUCCCUUUUAUGCAGAUAUGCAAUGGCAAGCCCUUCCGUGUCUUCCAAAGACAAUGCCUACACCUAGCCACAGCAGCUCCCUCAUAAAGACUCCGCAAGCCAGGAGGCCGUGGAGGCAAAUGCAGGCAGCCAGCACACCUUGAACAGCCACCUUGACUGCGGGUGUGUCACCCUAGUCGCCAAGGAAACAUUUGAGGGAAAGCGACAGACAAUGUGAACAGUCACUUUUCCAUGUAAACGAUACUCUUUCUCUCGGAUGACUCCUACGCCUCGCCACGCCAGCACACUUGUGCACAAAUAUGCCGCUGAGGCACGUGCAGGUCAGAGGCAAGAAGCAGUGGCACUGGUGUCGACAUUCACCCAAUUUAUUUUUCUUACACUGAGGCAGCCAGCACACCUCGAACAGCCACCUUGACAGCGGGUGUGUCAGUAGAUUCCUGUUGUACAUAUGCUCAUAAUAAACUUCAGUAAACUUGAACUUGAUAAUAAACUUGAAGGCAAAUGGGACAUUGAUGCAUUGUUCUUUUGAACAUUUAUUGUACACAUACAAUAUAUGUUAUACUUUGCAGUGCUACAGAGCGUAUUUUGAAGCUUCCCCCUAUAUUUCGCACCUUUAAUUACGUAUGUGUUG
Molecule: long non-coding RNA, 761 nt
Filed under: Dermacentor andersoni
Lineage: Eukaryota; Metazoa; Arthropoda; Arachnida; Ixodida; Ixodidae
Description: uncharacterized LOC126539374
Source: RNAcentral